UUUUAUACCAAGGGGUGUCCGUUUUACGGUCUGAGAUCCACAUCAAGUGGGAACCCUUACACCUGAUCCGGAUAAUACCGGCGUAGGGAUGGUCGACAAUACAGCC
Molecule: regulatory RNA element, 106 nt
Organism: Alteromonas australica
Lineage: Bacteria; Pseudomonadati; Pseudomonadota; Gammaproteobacteria; Alteromonadales; Alteromonadaceae
Rfam family: TPP riboswitch aptamer (THI element)
About the family: Vitamin B(1) in its active form thiamin pyrophosphate (TPP) is an essential coenzyme that is synthesised by coupling of pyrimidine and thiazole moieties in bacteria. The previously detected thiamin-regulatory element, thi box was extended, resulting in a new, highly conserved RNA secondary structure, the THI element, which is widely distributed in eubacteria and also occurs in some archaea.
Source: Rfam